GUGAACUGAUAUUAUGUUAUUAUGAACAGUUAUCUUGUACAGUGUGUUUGUGUGUUUUGUCUAAUUACUAUAGUCAAACAGGAAGUGGGAUCUCCGUUGUGGCAUGCUGCUUGGCCUGCUGGGGUAGAAUAGGGUCCAAAGGGAGAGAACUUAGUUCUUAGUUCUUAGAUCUUAGUUAGUUCUUCGUGUGUGAACACAUGAUCUCUUCCCCUCGUUCUGUGUGUGUGAACACAUGAUCUCUUCCUCUCGUUCUGUGUGUGUGAACACAUGAUCUCUUCCUCUUGUUCUGUGUGUGUGAACACAUGAUCUCUUCCUCUCUUUCAUCUCCUUCACCUGUCUUUUGUUCCUUCCUUCCCUUUUUCCUUUUGAGCUCUUUAUCGAUUUGGACUGAGUUUUUGUCAUGAGGGUGCAAUUUGCAUAGGUCCAUAAAUAAAGCAAAGUGAUUUUUAAUCAAUGAAAUCAGUGCAGUGUUUGAAAAUUGAUUGCCAUAGCUAUACAAAUUAGUGCUGUCAAUCAAUGAAAUAGAAGAAACCAAUUCAAAAUGAUUCUUAUAAUAAUGAUGUAAAAUCACAGAAUGAAUGUAGAAUCAACACAAAUUAAGUAUAUUUAUAUUCAAAUACUAUUGUUUAAUAGUAUCUUUUGAACUUUGAACACAAGAUUUCUCCUGUUAACUACAGAUUUCCAAUAAAACCAUCAAGGCCUUGCAAUGACUGUAAAACAAAUGUCACCUACAGGUUAUGAUGGUGAUUCUUUUCUGAGCUGCUAUUGCAUUCCCACGGAAUAGUUUUGCAUACGCUCGCAAUACUUUUGUGUUCCUCCUACUGCUUGUGAAAGGGGACACCUAUGUGUUGUCUUGCAAUUAUAGUCCGCAAGUUUGAUAGACCCAUCAACAUAAUCAAUUUCUUUUGAUGUCUGUUGCAUUUGAUCUCCCACACAAACCCACCAUCUGCACACAACUGGGCAGCACUAUGGUCACAUCACUAUGUGAUCACCCUAACCCCCAUUUGAGGACAAGAAGACUUGCCAUUUCUGUUCCUCUUUCUCUUCCUGUUUUAUAUGGGUGGUUCAGUUUCAGUGAAGAUCAUAUGGACAGGAAACAAAUGAAAGGUGUUAUUACUGGUCAAGAGUAUAACUAGAGAUUUCCCAGUAAAAUUGCUUGACAACAUCAUUACACAGUGAUUGGGUGAAGUAGUAAGUAGCAAGGAACAUGAUCAGAGGAUUUCUCUUUCUCUCUUUCGUGGUUUCCACGGCAGCUUUCAGUGUUUUGAAAGAUGCCGUGUAUCAUUGUGCAAAUGGUCAAGAAACAACUCAGUCCAGUGAUGGCUUUGCAAAAUUCUUGGGGUGCGACCUGAAGAAUGAUUAUUUCAUCUUCGCAGGUUAAGUACACUCAAGUUGUGCAUUUUUCAGUAUCAGAUGAUCAUAACUUCCUUGCUUGUACAGAACACAUUUAACCUUUUGACUCAUUGUGCUGCAGAGGACAACUUAAAGGGCUCCCAACCAUUGGGGCCAAUGGUGAAUUAACUGAAACGCCCCGCCAUCUCCUUAUAAGGGCAUGCAACUGAAGAGACGUGUGUGCACAAUCCAAAGGCAACAGGAAAGCAACUUCAGACUGAUCAAAAUCAUGUCAAAGCGGAAAGCAAGCACCGGUCGAGUAAACGCAUACCUAACUUCACCGGUGUAGAGGUGGAGGUACUAUUGCAGAAUGUAGAUGUGUCCAUUCUAUUCCACUAUGGCUAUAUCCACGAGAUUGAGUUUAGAGCUUAUUUAUUUAUUCACUUACAUUUGCAGUGUUGGUGUAGUGCACCACGAUGCCUCGUAGAAUCAUGACUAUAAAUGUGAAACGUUAUUGUUAAUGAUACAAAUAUUCUCGUAUUUAUUUAUUAUUAUUAUUAUUAUUAUUAUUAUAAGUCUUAGUUAAGAACGAAUCCCAGAUGAGAAACUCUAGUAGCUGUUUGUCUGCUGCUGCUAGCAUUAGCUAAACUUGGCUCAACAGCACUUAUCAACAUUAUCAGAUUCACUUGAAACAUUAUCAGAAAUGUCUUCCACUUCCACGGACAAAUUCGUUGAUUGGAAAUAUUGUGUUACCUUAGGUAAUUUCUCCCUGAAAUUCCCAUCCUCCCUUUUCCUCUUUCUUUUCUCACUGCCACUUAGAAAUCGUUUCAUGCUUAACUUUGCGACCACACACGCAACCACACGACACAUUUUCCGUGACAGAAACGUCACGUGACGUGGAAUCAUUUGUUCCAUGAUGGAUUUAAGAUACAUUUCAGGCCGAUACAUAAAAUAAAAGAAUCGUGUUUUCAGGAUUAUUAUAAAUUGUCCUUCGUUUGCAGUAAGUAAGUAAGUAAGACUUUAUUUAUAUAGCACAUUUCGUACAAGAAUUGCAGUUCAAAGUGCUUUACAUAAAAUCAAUAAAAGCAAGCAGCAAGAGCAAUACAUGGAGUUAAAUAAUGAUUAAUAUCGUAUCAGAACCUGAUGUUCCGAUAGGCUUCUUGAAUUACUAAAAUCAUGAUAAAAGGUAUAAAAGGAAUAAAAGUAAUAAAACCCUUCUGAAAUAAUAAAAAUAGUGAAAGUUACAGUUAGUAUCAACCCCACAGAAAAUUAAUAAUAUUAAUAAAAUGCUUUGGUAAAAAGAUAGGUUUUAAGCUGCUUUUUGAAAGUGUCUAGCGUGACAAGUGAUUUAUUUUAAUUCUUAAAAAAAAAACUAUGACGAGGCCCCCCUGGUGGCCGAGGCCCUGGGCAACUGCCUGCCUUGCCCAAUGGAACGCACUGCCUCUGGUUAGUUCCAGUGUCCGUGCAGGGGAAUGCAGAGCUAAUGCAAUGAUGCCAACAAAGGAGCAGAAAAGAACACCAAUGAGAAUGCAUUUUCUUUGUAAAAAUCUCUCACUGCAACACCUUGUGUCUGACAACCCAUGCAAGAGAAAACACUGUUGAAGACUGUAAUGUCACGACCCUCACUAGGGUAUGAUGUCUCUUCUUUUUCCUCUUUCUCUCCCUCUGUUUCCCCUUCAGGCAAUAGUUUGUCAGGUACAGGGGAUGUGGUCCACCUGUUUGAUGUGAUUAGGCAUAUCCAAUAAAAGUCCCAGAACUCUGUGUUGGUUCAGGUGUACCCUGCGUGUUUAGGAGUCCUACACCAGACUUGAACUGUGCAGCCUCGAACAUGGGAGGUGGGCCUACAAGUAAGGAGGCUAAAGCCCAUGGGUGCUAGCGUCUAUCACUAGCGCAUUUCCUAAAGUGUUUGAAAGUGAGGUUUACUCAUGCACAGAACGGUACCUGCUGGCUGCUGUUACACUCGCUGUGAUGUUGAGAUACGCUGUCUGCGUAGUGACGUAAGCACCCACUAGUGGACAAGAGCAGUACAGUUCCGCCUGAUGUAUGAAGCAGAUGCAUGCAAGUGAUGUCCGUCAGUAAAGCAUCCAAAUCAAUCUAACUGUCUCGUUAUUGAACAAACAACAAUCGACACACGGAAACAUUACAGUGGCGACGAGGAUUCAAAUGGAUAUUCGCGUGAAGAAUAUUUAAAAAGGAAAGGAGAAAAACCGAUGCCGAACAGUCAACUCGCAACGUGAGUUUGAAAGCUAAAGGCUAGCCAACCAGUCAAUAACGUACAGUGGAUGUUAAGAAACUAGCAACGUAAAAAUGAUGAACUCUGCCAUAAGCCAUGCUGCUAUUCUGCCGUUCGAUACGGAGAUUGAUCCAACUUCAGUCGGAACGAGAUGGAGUAAGUGGAUCCAACACUUUGAAAACUUUCUAGUUGCAAUGAACAUUGUGAAUGAUGGAAGGAAAAGGGCGCUGCUUUUGCACUUAGCUGGGGAACGUGUUCAUGACAUAUACGACACGCUUGCCGGUGAAGAUGAUGAUUUUGAAACAACAAAAACGAAACUGGAUGGAUACUUCACCCCAAAGAAAAACACUCAAUAUCUUGUGUACAAGUUUAGAAAAGCCGCACAGGAACAAGGAGAAAAUCUGGACACAUAUCACACGAGGUUACGCAUGCUUUCCAGAGACUGUGAGUUUACCGAUGUGGACAGUGAGAUAAAAGCCCAGCUCAUCCAAAGCUGCACUUCCUCGAGACUCCCCCGGAGGGCGCUAAGAGAACCUGAAAUGACGCUGGAAACUCUGCUGAAUUUUGGGAGAACGCUAGAAAUAUCAGAGCAGCAGGCAGAGGGCAUUGAACAAGGUACAUCCACUGCUGUCAACGCAAUUGAACACAAAUAUAAACCACAAAUGAAUGAUCAGAGGGGAAACAAAAAUGCAAACAAAGACACAAUGCAGAAACUGUGGAGGGAGAUAUCUUCACAGAGGAAAUUGUCCAGCAAAAGGCAAGGACUGCAAUGUAUGUGGAAAACCAAACCAUUUCGCAAAGGUGUGCCGCUCAAACCAAAGAAAAUCAGCUCAAGACAGAAAGGUACGUCAUGAUCAUAACAAAGACACCCCAUAUGGACAACAGAAAAGCACAAGACGUGUAAAUCGAGUGACUGCAUCAGAGUGUGGUACACAAAGGGACUCAUCAAGCAGUGAUGAUCAGUAUGUGUUUUCAGUUAAUGGUGAAGCCUGCCCCAAACACCCCAGAACAUCUAUACUGCUCAAUGACGUGCAAGUUGAAGUGUUGAUCGACUCUGGAGCAGCAGUUAACAUAAUCAGUGAAAACAUAUACAAUAUGCUCAAGCCACAGCCAGAAAUGAAGGUUGCCAAUAUCAAAAUAUUUUCAUAUGGAUCCAAACAUGCUUUGCCUAUUAUGGGUGUUUUUGAGUGCUCUGUGAAAGCAAAGGACAGAAACACACAGGCAACUUUCUAUGUGCUGAAGGGCAGUGAACACUCUCUUUUGAGCUAUGACACAGCUAGCAAGCUUGGCCUAAUACAGAUUAUCAAUGCAGUGGACCCCACCAUUAGGAGUGUCUCAGACGAGUUGAUUGACAGUCAUCCUGAACUGUUCACUGGUAUAGGCAAGCUCAAAGAUUUCCGUGUGAAGCUACACAUCAAUCCUGAGGUACAGCCAACGUGUCAACCACACAGAAGGGUUCCUUUCCACGUCCGACAGAAGGUCGAAGAAGAACUACGAAAGCUGGAAGAAGACGACAUAAUUGAACGAGUGACCGGGCCAACACCCUGGGUUUCUCCAAUUGUUACCCCGCCGAAGCCUAAGGACCCCGAUCAAGUAGGGAUCUGUGUUGACAUGCGUCAAGCAAAUGUGGCAAUACAACGUGAACGUCACCUCACGCCCACAAUGGACGACGUGAUCCAUGAGCUAAACGGUGCACGGGUAUUUUCAAAAUUAGAUCUCAACAAAGGCUACCAUCAGCU
Clupea harengus (Atlantic herring) is the source of this 5304-nucleotide long non-coding RNA. The record is from Ensembl. NCBI's taxonomy places the organism in Eukaryota, Metazoa, Chordata, Actinopteri, Clupeiformes, Clupeidae.